RNAcentral lists this ribosomal RNA (465 nucleotides) under uncultured Burkholderiales bacterium. Its description in RNAcentral is "bacterial SSU rRNA". It matches the Rfam family "Bacterial small subunit ribosomal RNA", at positions 338 to 795 of the family's 1533-position model. The record is from RNAcentral. Lineage: Bacteria; Pseudomonadati; Pseudomonadota; Betaproteobacteria; Burkholderiales.
CCUACGGGAGGCUGCAGUGGGGAAUUUUGGACAAUGGGCGCAAGCCUGAUCCAGCCAUGCCGCGUGCGGGAAGAAGGCCUUCGGGUUGUAAACCGCUUUUGUCAGGGAAGAAAUCUUCUGGGUUAAUACCUCGGGAGGAUGACGGUACCUGAAGAAUAAGCACCGGCUAACUACGUGCCAGCAGCCGCGGUAAUACGUAGGGUGCAAGCGUUAAUCGGAAUUACUGGGCGUAAAGCGUGCGCAGGCGGUUGUGCAAGACAGGUGUGAAAUCCCCGGGCUUAACCUGGGAACUGCACUUGUGACUGCACGGCUGGAGUACGGCAGAGGGGGAUGGAAUUCCGCGUGUAGCAGUGAAAUGCGUAGAUAUGCGGAGGAACACCGAUGGCGAAGGCAAUCCCCUGGGCCUGUACUGACGCUCAUGCACGAAAGCGUGGGGAGCAAACAGGAUUAGAUACCCCUGUAGUC